UAAAGGUAUUAGAAGAGAGUUAUUUGUAUGGAAAAAGGACCCUUUUAUAGAGCUCUAAGAGACUGCCCAUUUACUUAGAGUAGUUACAUGCACCACCGAUAGUUAUAAGUUACUUGCGCACCACUAAUCUGGAUGGCUACUAUUACAAGCCUACAUCCCUUCAACGGCUAGUUACCAUUGGAUGUCCCACCCAUGUCAUGUUCAUAAAAAGAUAUCGAGCCUCUACCUGUUCUUAGACGAGGAGCACCGCAUGCACUAAUGUGAAGUGCAGAUUGCGCCAUCAUACGCCCUUGCCGUGUGCAUAAGCAUGCACGCUCAUGUCAGCAUGAGCUUGAGCAUCACACGCUUCGCACGCUCUGCACAUGCACCAUCACCCUCACUUUUGUACUAAUAGUACGAAUCAUGAGAAUUCCUACACUUAAAUACCACUCAAUCUAUACUCUCUUCUUCAAUGUAGGAUUAAAAACACACACCUUUCUCUCUCUCUACAAAAUAUAGUUUAGAAAAACCACACAAACCCAUAUUGUUAUUUUGAACAAGUAUUUUUUAAAAACAAAAUGCUAACAUUUUCCUUUACUAGUUCUCAAUUACAAGGAAAACAUAGGAAACAUAUUAUUUGCGUACCAUGAAUGAAUAUUUCAAUUUGAACAUUCACUUAGAUAGUACAUUACAAAGUCUAUGGAGUACCGUGGUAUCAUAUAGCUUUGAACCAAGUUGCUUAUCUAUAGAUCAAUAGUAUAACUCGCAACCAAUAUUGAACUUUGACGUCUUUUAGCUGCCAGUACAUUUUGGGAAUUGUCUUAUAUCCCAAUGUCAUAAGUACUUUAAAGACAAGUCUCAUCUCAUAGGAAGCGGCCUCACUUCCACAUUUAAAGAGAAAGUACCUAAAUUUUUGGAGAGAAACUAUCUCAAAAAUUGUAGAGAAAUUAUCUUAAAU
RNAcentral lists this long non-coding RNA (937 nucleotides) under Amborella trichopoda. RNAcentral's name for it is "long non-coding RNA (ATRI_LNC002706)". Lineage: Eukaryota; Viridiplantae; Streptophyta; Magnoliopsida; Amborellales; Amborellaceae. The record is from RNAcentral.